Molecule: small nucleolar RNA, 167 nt
Organism: Gastrolobium bilobum
Lineage: Eukaryota; Viridiplantae; Streptophyta; Magnoliopsida; Fabales; Fabaceae
Product: small nucleolar RNA Z112
Exons: 1
Source: RefSeq, a predicted model, not a curated record
GACCCUGUGAGGAGGAUCUCCCAAAAAUUGAUAGGAAGUGCCGUAUGACACUCCAAAAAGCAGCACCGGUUUCAAAGAAUGUUCUCAUCCACCGAUGGCAAAUCCCAUCGGUCGAGAACAUUCUUUGCGGUGCUGUGUGGUUGAUUUGAAACGGGUGGCUGAGGGUU